AAUACCACAAAGUAAACAUCUGAUUUUCCAUCCAUCCAUCCAUUUUACACCCUUAUCCCAUUGCGGUCGACAGGUGACUCCACAGAUUUUCUCUCACAUUAGUUCUGGACGUCAGCUAAACUCCAUUUGCUGAGACAUAGGGAGUAUAAAAGAGGUUGUUGUCAACUGUCGAACACACCUAGUUGGAAAGGCAAUUCAACUCCAUCAGUGUUCCUGCCUGCCUCCUGGGUGCCUGCCUUUCAUGACUGAUACAUUGUGCAAUUAAAUCCUACGGAUCCUAUUCUACUCCUCUUUGCAAACUAUGGCUUCAGAUAAAACAUCCA
Molecule: long non-coding RNA, 323 nt
Organism: Poeciliopsis prolifica (blackstripe livebearer)
Lineage: Eukaryota; Metazoa; Chordata; Actinopteri; Cyprinodontiformes; Poeciliidae
Exons: 3
Source: RefSeq, a predicted model, not a curated record